RNAcentral lists this transfer RNA (89 nucleotides) under freshwater metagenome. Its description in RNAcentral is "tRNA-Ser". It matches the Rfam family "tRNA". From Rfam's summary of the family: Transfer RNA (tRNA) molecules are approximately 80 nucleotides in length. The record is from RNAcentral.
UGGAGGGGUGGCAGAGUGGUCGAAUGCACCGGUCUUGAAAACCGGAGACGGGGCAACUCGUCCGCGGGUUCGAAUCCCGCCCCCUCCGU